Molecule: ribosomal RNA, 437 nt
Filed under: uncultured Oscillospiraceae bacterium
Lineage: Bacteria; Bacillati; Bacillota; Clostridia; Eubacteriales; Oscillospiraceae
Description: bacterial SSU rRNA
Rfam family: Bacterial small subunit ribosomal RNA
Source: RNAcentral
ACGGAAGGCAGCAGUGGGGAAUAUUGGGCAAUGGGCGAAAGCCUGACCCAGCAACGCCGCGUGAAGGAAGAAGGUCUUCGGAUUGUAAACUUCUUUUAUGAGGGACGAAGGACGUGACGGUACCUCAUGAAUAAGCUACGGCUAACUACGUGCCAGCAGCCGCGGUAAUACGUAGGUAGCGAGCGUUAUCCGGAUUUACUGGGUGUAAAGGGCGCGUAGGCGGGGAAGCAAGUCAGGUGUGAAAUCUAUGGGCUUAACCCAUAAACUGCACUUGAAACUGUUUUUCUUGAGUGCUGGAGAGGUAGACGGAAUUCCUAGUGUAGCGGUGAAAUGCGUAGAUAUUAGGAAGAACACCAGUGGCGAAGGCGGUCCACUGGACAGUAACUGACGCUGAGGCGCGAAAGCGUGGGGAGCAAACAGGAUUAGAUACCCUGGUA